GGAAUUCAGUCCGCNUGUGCGGCGUCGGCGCCGGUCGCGCAUCCCUCGUGGGAGCGCGCCGGCGUCCGNAUCGACGUGCGGCGGCCGUACUUUCGGCGGGCGGAGCGCCACGACCGGUUCGUCGGCGGCGAGAAACUCCCGGGCAAGGUGACCUUCGUCUCGGCGCAGGAGCAUACAGGCCCGGUGAGCGUCGGCCCGUCGGCGGACCGAGGAAGACCGUCGCGGAGCGGCGUCGACCGCCCGUCGUGUGGACGCGUUCGACUCGGGGGGACUGGUUCCAGUGCCCUCGGACCGCGCGAUCGCAGCGGCGGGACGGCCCGGCGUCGCGCCUGGGGUCGGUGGCGAAACGGCCGGCAACCUGUCCGACCCGUCUUGAAACACGGACCAAGGAGUCUAACAUGUGCGCGAGUCGUUGGGCGCUACGAAACCCGAAGGCGCAAUGAAAGUGAAGGCCCGGUCUCGUGCCGGCCUGGGUGGGAUCCGGGCGGCCUCGGCCGUCCGGCGCACCACCGGCCCGUCUCGUUCGCCGCGUCGAAGAGGCGGAGCAAGAGCGUACACGUUGGGACCCGAAAGAUGGUGAACUAUGCCCGAGUAGGACGAAGCCAGAGGAAACUCUGGUGGAGGUCCGCAGCGAUUCUGACGUGCAAAUCGAUCGUCAAACUUGGGUAUAGGGGGGAAAGAUUAAUCGGACCAUCUGAUACCCUUUUGUCCCCUCUGUUCCUCCUAAAG
Molecule: ribosomal RNA, 729 nt
Filed under: Eophila gestroi
Lineage: Eukaryota; Metazoa; Annelida; Clitellata; Crassiclitellata; Lumbricidae
Description: partial large subunit ribosomal RNA
Rfam family: Eukaryotic large subunit ribosomal RNA (bases 384-729)
Source: RNAcentral